GUUACAGAUGGCUUUCUGUGCAGGAGUUUAGCAGGAGAAGUUUUGCUCCUGGGUUGCUGAAAGGGAGACGUUUUACAUGGACAAUCUAAAGACCAUUUGAAUCUCCCUCAAAGGACAUUGUAAUAGUUUCAUUCUCAACUGUCCUGGAAUUGGCACCGCUUUCUGACACUUUGCAAGCUGCUCUCAUCUCACAAUGGGAAAGGUGGGGAGCAGAAAAGGAAGGAAAGUAUUCUUGAUCAUUACUCCCACAGCCUUUGGCUUCCUGACCCUAUUUUCUCAUGUAUGGCAGUUUAAUUUUUUUCCAUCUUGAUCAUUUUGGAAUGUAUCAAAGGGUCCUGGCUUUGAACUUCAUCCUUCCCUUCCUUGGGUUUGGGGUUAUAUCACAUGACUACUAACCUACAAGCCAAGGGAACCAGUAUUUAGACAUUCUUCCGUCUGUCUGCAUAUCCCAGGG
Molecule: long non-coding RNA, 454 nt
Organism: Anolis carolinensis (green anole)
Lineage: Eukaryota; Metazoa; Chordata; Lepidosauria; Squamata; Anolidae
Exons: 3
Source: RefSeq, a predicted model, not a curated record